RNAcentral lists this long non-coding RNA (38850 nucleotides) under Nicotiana tabacum (common tobacco). Its description in RNAcentral is "long non-coding RNA (NTAB_LNC001914)". Lineage: Eukaryota; Viridiplantae; Streptophyta; Magnoliopsida; Solanales; Solanaceae. The record is from RNAcentral.
UUUUUUUUUUUUUUUUUUGGUUUUACCACCGGUGCCCGGUACCCACUUUGGAGCCUGACUAUAUCCGGAUUCGCACCGCGUAGGCCCCCAUUAGAGGGAAGCGUUCCCUACCAAGGAUUUUUCCAUACUGGGGCUCGAACCCGAGACAUCUGGUUAAGGAAAGAGUAGUCUCAGCCGCUGCACCACAUCCUUUGGUGGUAAUACCCUCCGUGUUGCCUUAGGAGCUGUUUAGAAAUAGUUUUUUUUCUUCCUUUUUUCCGAAAAAUAUUUUCAAACCAGUUUUUGGUGAUAUAUUUAACUUAAUUUUUGAAGAUGAGUUUCAAAAAAAUUUGAAAAUGAGUUUUAAUUUUGAAAAAGUGAUUUUUGCCUCUUUUUCAAGUAAACAAUGUUUUUCUCUCACAAAACUGCAUGUCCAAACACAACUUCAAUUUUCAAAUACUUUUUCAACUGGACUUAAAAUACUAUUUUUUUUCCAAAUCUCACCUUUUUUUAUUUUUAUUUUUUAUGUCCAAACGCCUACUUAGUAGGGGUAUUACUAGUAGAAAUAGCGUCUAUUGACCACUUUUCGCCUUUUCGGCAUUGUCUUAGAAAAAUAGCCAUUGUCUUGGAGUUCCAAAUUUUAUUAGUGGAACUCCAUGAUUACACUUGUGGAAUUUGAAACUGUAGGACAGUGGAUAUUUUUCAAUUAUAGGAGCUAAAAGUUGGCUAUUUGUGAAAAUUUCCCAGUAUUACUACUAUUAAACUUUGAGUCAGCUUAGUUUAGGGACGAGUCGGGCCGGGCUGGCCCUAAUGGAGUUAAGUUUGGUCCCUCCAGGUGUGCCAAUGGACAGGAUGAGUUCGAGCCAGGCCGGGCCUUGGAGUUAAGUUUGGUCCCUCCAAGGUGUGCCAAUGGACAGUAUUCUUCAGCUCUGAGGAGCUAAUUUCAUGCAUUUUGUUGGCUAAAGUUUUGGGCCUCCUGUUCUAUUAGUCCAAAGAGUGAAUACUAUGCCUGCUCUGCAGUGAUGAAGUUGCAGCCUAGUAGUUGUAACUCCACGAUGCAUUCGUUAGGUGCAGGAUUAAAAUCUUACCAAUGACCAUAGGCUGCAAUACCAUACUGAAUCUCUUGGUUGAAAGAUUCAAAUACUGCGUAAAGCAUAAUCAACGGUUAGAAAUAUUUACUGGGUGUACUUUAGCAAGUAUAAGUGUUUACUUGGGAGUAUGCUAGUUGAAGUGUCAGUUGUGUAUUAAAAACGAAAAAAAGAAAAAUAUUUAAGUUUCCUGUUUCUCAUUAAUCUGAACAUGCUCAUAGUAAAAGUUGAUUACUUUUGUAGCGCUUUUGAAUGGAUGUGAUUGGUUCUCAUUUUUUUUUUUGGUUGAUAUUUUUGUAGCCCUAUAAUGGCCACUAUAAGAAUUACCCUUCUUCCACAAGUUCUCAGGUGACGCACACCACAUACCACAGUCAAAGAGAUCUUGAAUUCCAUAACUAGCAAUGUUAUAUGACCCAUCAGUAUAUCCAUAUUGAUUCUUCUAGUACAAACGAAUCUUAGUUUCGUUAGACUUAUCACAGAAAAUGUACACACACAUGUAACUAUGCCCUUUGUAACUUUUCAUCUUCUUGAUGUUUUUUAUAAUGAAACACCUUACUUCUUCAAAAAGAAAAUAUAUGUAGAUGUACACACACGUAUAGCUACCUUCAGGCUUUUUUAUUUUAUUUUUUUAUUCGCACUUCUUUUUCUUCAGUUCUGCUAUGCGUAUGAUUUUCUUUUUCUUUCUCCCUUUUUAUCAUUAUAUUAUACAGAUAAUUGAUAAUUGUUUUGCUUCCUAUAGCCUUGAGUUUCUGGUCUCUGAUGGCGACACCAGAAACCCCUGUUACACCAGCAACCCCCACUGAGAAUCAUGAGAUCGUGCUGAAAAAUGAGAUUGUACAUGAACAUAGCAAUGAGAUGGUGCCGGACGAUGAGAUGAUACAUGAACAUAGUCAUGAGAUGGUGCCGGAAAAUGAGAUGAUACAUGAACAUAGUCAUGAGGUGGUGCCGGAAAAUGAGAUGAUACAUGGACAUAAUCAUGAGUUGGUGCCGGUAAAUGAGAUGAUGCAUGAACAUAAUCAUGAGAUGGUGCAGGAACAUGAGAUGACACAUGAACAUCACAUAGUGCUUGGCAAUGAGAUAGUCCCUGGUGAUGAAAUGGUUCCAGACAAUGAGAUGAUCCCACUAAAUGAGAUGGUCCUUGCGGAACAACCCAACUAUAUCGAAACACCUCCAAACGAUCUAGAAACACAACCCAGCAAGCGUAGGAAAAAGAAGUCAAUAGUUUGGGAACACUUCACCAUUGAAAACGUUGGUGCUGGAACUAGAAGGGCAUGCUGUAAGCAGUGCAAGCAAUCAUUUGCAUAUAGUACAGGUUCAAAAGUAGCAGGCACUAGUCACCUGAAACGCCAUAUUGCAAAAGGAGCCUGUCCAGUUGUCCUACGUAACCAACAGAAUAAUCAAUCCAGCCCAUAUAAUACACCUUCUAAGAUGAGUGGAUAUGGGGGUAGUAACGAUGCACCAAAACGACGUUAUCGGACUGCUUCUUCUCCUUACCUUGCUUUUGAUCCAGACCGGUGCCGCCAGGAGAUCUCUAGGAUGAUCAUCAUGCACGACUAUCCUCUUCACAUGGUUGAGCAUCCAGGCUUUCUUACUUUUGUCCAGCAUCUUCAACCUCGUUUUGAUAUGGUGAGCUUCAACACCGUGCAAGGAGAUUGUGUGGCAACUUAUCUUAGAGAGAAGCAAGCCAUUCAGAAAGUGAUUGGGGGAGUGCCUGGGCGAAUCUGCUUAACACUUGAUAUGUGGUCCUCCUGCUACACUGUCGGCUAUGUGUUCAUAACUGGGCAGUAUAUUGACAGUGAGUGGAAAAUUCACAGGAAAAUACUCAAUGUCAUCAUGGAACCAUAUCCAGAUUCUGACACGGCUUUCAGCCACGCUGUUGCCGCUUGCCUUUCUGACUGGAGUAUGGAGGGGAAGUUAUUUUCUGUCACUAUUAAUCAUCCAAUCAGUGAUGCAGCUGUUGAUAAUCUUAGAGCUUUACUCUCAGUGAAGAACCCUCUUGUGCUCAAUGGCCAGUUGGUGGUCGGAAAUUGUCUUGCUCGAACUUUGAGCAGCAUUGCGCAAGAUGCGUUUCAUUUUUUGCAUGGAACUGUUAAGAAAGUAAGAGAUAGCAUAAAGUAUGUGAAAACAUCAGAAUCUCAUGAGGAAAAGUUUAUUGAACUCAAACAGCAGCUUCAGGUGCCAAGCACAAAGACGUUGGUGCUUGAUGACCGAACACAAUGGAACACAACAUAUGAGAUGUUGUUGGCUGCGUCAGAGCUAAAGGAAGUAUUUUCGUGCUUGGAUACAUCUGACCCUGAUUACAAGGAUGCCCCAUCUGUUGAAGAUUGGAAGCAAGUUGAGAUUCUGUGUACUUACUUGAAAAUCCUCUUCGACACUGCCAAUCUUCUGACCGCACCAACAAUUCCAACAACCAAUACAUUCUUCCAUGAAGCGUGGAAGAUUCAAUUGGAACUGGCUCGUGCUGCAGCAAGUGAAGAUCCAUCCAUCAGCAGCCUUACCAAAACGAUGCAAGAGAAGUUUGAUAAAUACUGGAAGAGUUGUUGUCUGAUGUUAGCGAUUUCCGUAGUAAUGGAUCCACGCUUCAAAAUGAAACUCGUUGAAUUCAGUUUUACGAAAAUAUACGGGGAAGAAGCUGCUACCUAUGUGAAGAUUGUUGAAGAGGGAAUCCACGAGCUCUUUCUUGAAUAUGUGGCACUUCCUCUGCCUCUGACCCCAACUUAUGCUGAAGAGGCAAAUGGCGGGGAUAUAAAGCAGGAGAACGCCCAAGACCUCGGUGCCUCUAGUAAUGGGGCCGGACUUACAGAUUUUGAUGCCUACAUUAUGGAGACAACAAGCCAGCAGUCAAGGUCAGAACUUGAUCAAUAUUUGGAAGAAUCCUUAUUGCCUCGUGUUCACGAGUUUGAUGUUGUGGGGUGGUGGAAACUGAACAGAAUGAAGUACCCUACUCUAUCGAAAAUGGCUCGUGAUAUCUUAUCAGUUCCAGUUUCAACCGUAACAGCUGAUUCUGUAUUUUGCACGGUAGGCAAAGAGAUGGAUCAGUACAGGUGUUCCUUGCGACCUGAAACCGUGGAGGCCCUCAUCUGUGCCAAGGACUGGCUUCAGAAUGCAUCAGUAGAUACUUUACACGCGCCAAUUAAAAUGGAAGUCCCGAUUUAGGUUGUUGCUGUAAUGUUUGAGUAGAUGUCUAGAAUGGUAUUUCGUAGCUGACUUCAUUUUCCUUUUAGAUUGUAAAAUUUUUCUUUUUUCUGUCGCCUGAGGAUUGACUUUCUUUUAUCAUCAUUCGGAACCAUUAAGCUCUUUAUGUGAGAAAUUUAUUCGAGAUGUUGCAAUCUCCUUGUUCAUUUCAUUGGUAUAUGAAUGCAUGAAGCUGUACAGAAAACAGGAAUGCCUUAUGUUUUGUGUUGUUCUUCAUUGUUAACUUGGCUGGCUGGUUUAGUUGUUCCAAAUUUAAUACGACACUAUAAGAAUAUAGCCAAUCUCGCCGAAAAUAAUGAAACAAUGUGAAAUAUCAAGGGGUAGGAAUAGUAAAAUACAAGACCGGUACUAAUACUACUGGGAAGACUAGACGAAACACCCUAAAGAAUAAGAACUAGAGCUUCGUCUAAUCAACAAAAGCCCUAUGAAAGUCCAAUGAAUACUGCAAAUCGAAAUGUCAAAUUAAUCAAUCAGCCUCCUAUCUUAUACUAAUAGAAAUACUGCAAAUCGUAAAAUUUUAUAUUCAUCCCCCCUUCAACCAUUUUCACAAAACAAUUCUUUAACCUGCAUUCAAAUUAGUAAGUAUUAUUUUACUUGAAAUACUCUUCGAACAAAGUUUUCAAUAUUUUAUCAGUCUUUCAAAAGUGAAGUUCGAAAUUCGCAAAUACUAAUGGUCAAUAUUGAGAAAUAUUAUUUGUAGCCGAAUUAUGUCGUUAAAUUCUGACGGAUACCCGAUAUCAUAGAGUGCAUAAGUAUAUAUAUGUAUAAAAAUGAUAUCCACAUCUUUGCCGUGUAUGAUUCUUUUGUGGGGAAAGUGCUCUUCAUCAAGAGUUUUUUCACUCUUAGGUUCAAACUCGAGAUAUCUUAUUAAAGAUAGAGUAAUAUCAUUCAUCCCAUCACACUCUUUAUGUCAGUUUUUAAUUAAAUUAUCAAGUAGAUAAAGGAGGAGAUUUACAGUUGGCUGGUUGAAUAAAACUUUAGUUGAGCUUAAAUAAGACAAUGAUGAUUUAUACAACCGAUCUCAAUUUGAUUGGAUUGAGCGUAAUUGUUAUUAUACUAAAUGGAUAUUUUUUUAAUGUAGAGUAUAUAAUUAUUUAUAUAAAAUGUUUUAUUCUUUUUGUUCCAAUCCUAUAAAGUCUUUGUGAACCAAAAAUACAAGACUUAAAGUCCAUCUGCUUGGUGACAAGACCUGAGCCAGUAAUAGUUGGAUCAGAUGAAAUCCCUUUUGAUUCAAAAUCGAAACCUUGCCCCCGCCAUAAUGGGCUAAUUUGAAAAGAAUUUUUACCCAAAUAGCUGAUCGAAUUAACUAUUUAUUUUUCUAGGCAUAUACAUAAAAUAUAUGAUAACGAUAUAAGAUUAUACACAUAUUAUAUAUAAAAUAUACAUAUAGUGCUAAAGCAAGUUUUUCUAAAUGAGGAUAUCAAGUUUCAACAUCCAAUAAAGACUUGCUAACAUAAUAAAUUGGAGAUUGUUUACCUUUGUCUUCUCAAAUUAACACUGCACUUACCGGCAUUUAUGACACAACGAGAUAGAUGAGUAGCCUUUCUCCAUCCUUCGAUUUGGCCAACAACGAUGGAUUUGAUAAGUACGUUUUUAGAUUUUUGAAUGCUUGUUGGCAUUCUUAGUCCACUCAAAUUGGCUUUGAUUUUUUAACACUGAAAAGAACUUAAAACUUUUCUCCGAAGAUUUAGAAAUAAACCUUCCUUAUGUUGCUAUCCUACCUGUCAACCUCUGCACCUUUUUUUUACUCGUGAGUAUAUAAGUUAUUUCUUCUAUGACUUUAAUCUGUGCUGGAUUUACUUCAAUUCCUUGGUUAGAAACAAGGAAACCCAAAAACUUACCUGAAGACACGCUAAAUAAACACUUUUCGGGAUUUAACUUCAUAUUGAAUUUGCAGAGAAUUUGAAAUGUAUUUGACAAAUGUUGGAUGUGAUCCCCCGCCUGUGUUUACUUGACUAGCAUGUCAUCGAUAUAGACUUUAAUACUUUUUUCCAGAUGCUCUUGAAACAUCUUCGUUACUAACCUAUGGUACGUUGCUCCAGCAUUCUUUAAGCUAAAAGGCAUGACUUUAUAACAGUAAGUCCUCCUGUCUGUAAUAAAGGAAGUUUUUCCUCAUCUAAAGGAUCCAUUUUUAUAUGAUUAUAUCCUGAAUAGGCAUCUAAAAAACUCAACAAUUCAUGUCCUUCAGUAGCAUCAAUUAGUUGAUCUAUGUGCGAUAAAGGAAAAGAAUCUUUAGGGCAAGCUUUAUUCAAGUCAGUAUAGUCUAUACAAACUCACCAUUUACCAUUCCUUUUGGGGACUACUAUAGUAUUAGCUAGCCAAUUAGGAUAUUUUACCUCUCGGAUAGACCUGAUUUUUAAAAGCUUUUGUAUCUCAUCCUGAAUUACCUGGUUUUUUAAGGAUCCUUGCUUCAUUUUCUUCUGUUUAACAGGUGGAUACGUUGGAUAUUCAUUAAGCUUAUGGGUCAUCACCUCCGGUGGUAUACUUGUCAUAUCUGAAUGCAACCAAGCAAAGUAGUCUGCGUUAGCUUUUAAGAAUUCAAUUAACUUAUCUUUUAUCUCUGGGCUUAGGUUGGUUCCGAUGUAAACUUUUCUGUCCGACCAAUGUAUAAACAACACUACCACUUCGAGUUCUUCAAUUGUUGUUUUGAUGAUUUCGUUCUCUUCUGGCUCUUGAAUAGUAUCAGGCCUUGAGUCUACAUUCGUUUUUCCAUCUCCUGUUGAGGUUUGUGUUGUUAAAUCCUCAACUGAAUUCUGUAAUUGCUAUUUUUCUUCUGCGACGUCGUUUUUAUGCUUGAAUUCGCCACUGAGCUGAUGCUUCUAGAAGCCUGUUGAUCACCACGGAUUUGUCUAAUUCCCCAUUGCGAAGGGAACUUAAUAACCUGAUGUAGAGUAGACGGAACAACAUCUAUCUCGUGAAUCCAAGGUCCAUCGAGAAUCAUAUUGUAUGUCAUGUCCAUAUCUAUCACUUGAAAUUUCGUAUCUUUGACUACUCCUUCUGCGAAUAUGGUGAGUACUAUCUCUCCUUUUAUAACAAUGCUUGAAUUGUCAAAUCUAGAUAAGGUACAUGCUUUGGGUAUAAAUUUAUCAUCAGCUUGCAUCUCGUUUACCACUCUUAAAAGAAUGAUAUUUACAGAGCUACCUGGAUCAAUCAAAACUCGUUUCACAUUAGUAUCAUGUACAAGUAAAGGUAUUACCAGUGCAUGAUUAUGUGGGAUCAUCACACCAUCUGCAUUUGCAUCAUCAAACGCUAUACUGUCUUCUUCCAGAACUUGUGAACUCCCUUUCCGUGGGUAACUGUGACUUUUGCCAUCUUUUUUGCAGCCGUAUAUGUCACACCGUUGACCUCCUCUCCUCCGCUUAUCAUGUUAACCGUUCUUUUUGGUAAUGGAGGUUUUGGUGACUUUUGUCUAUUCUUCAUAUAUGCUUGCUUACCCUUCUCACUAACAUAUCGGUUAAAUAGACUUGGUUUAACAAGUGCUCUACUUCACCUUGUAGCAAUCUUCAAUCUGCUGUUUUAUGACUGUGAUCAUUAUGAAACUCGCAUCAGAAAUCUGGGUUUCUUCUGCUGGGGUUCGAUCUCAUUUCUUUUGGUCACCGCACCUUAUCUCCCAUACUCCUUAAAACAGCUACCAACUCAGAUGUGAUAACAUUGAAACUGUAAUCACCAAUCUUUGCCUUUGUACUAAUGUUGUUGUCCCGCAUAUCUCGCUCCUUUCCAAACUUGGAUGGCGAACCCGCAUCUCUAUCCCUUGAUUUAGAAGCGUACCUCGGGUUCUUGUGUUUAGAACGUGAAUCGCUUCCUGCUGGUCCCAUGUAAGGUUUGUACCUGUUCUUAUUGGACCUUUUUUCAGUUUCUGGUCGCCUCGAACUUGUUCUUUCAUCUCCCCGUGACUGAGUGAUAGUAUCUUCUUCUAUCUGCAUCUUCAAGCUAUAUCUGUUGUAAACAUCAUUCCAAGUUGUUGGAGGGAAUUCUCGUAAGCUUUCUUUGAGUCUCCUCGUGGCUUCUGAGCUUUAUUCAUUUAAGUUACUUGCAAACUCCAUGACCGCCUAAUUAUCCGAUACACGAGGUAACAUCAUCCUUUCACGCUGAAAUCUAUCAACAAAUUCCCUGAGUAGCUCCAUAUCUCCUUGUUUUAUUUUGAAGAUGUCUUCCAUCCUCUUUUCAACUUUUUGAUCUCCCGAGUGUGCUUUUAAAAAUGAAUCUGCAAGCUCAGCAAAAGAAUCAAUAAAAUUUUCUGGUAAAGAGAAUACCAUGUUAGUGCUCCUUUUAUGAGUGUUUCGCCAAAUUUUUUGACCAGCACUGACUCAAUUUCUUGCUUCAUCAAGUCGGUACCUUUUACGCCAGUUGUAAAUGUAGUUACAUGAUCUCGUGGGUCGGUUGUCCCAUCAUACUUUGGAAUAUCGGGCAUCUUAAACUUUUUUGGAAUUGGCAAGGGAGCGACACUUGGCUUCUAGGGCUGUUGAGAAUAUUUAGCAAUAUCCACUCCUUUAAUCACGGGUGGCACACCAGGUAUCUGAUUUAUGCGAUCGUUCUGCACCUUGAGUUGUUUCUGCAAAGUUAGUACUAAACUUUGUAAAUAAGAAUUAUUUGGAGUACCUGACCUUCCAUCGCAAGAUUCGCUGGGAGUUCCUCUACUGCCAGAAUUAGCAAGUCCCGAGCGUAGGUUCUCUAUGGUUGCGGUGUUAUUUGGAGGUGUUGGUAAUACAGUUGGCAAUCCACUAACAAAAGCUUGGAGAGCAUUGUUGACGUGUUUUGCAAUUAGUUGCUUCAAUGCAUCUUCAGUAGUUUGAUCGUCCCCUUAUUGGUUAUUCACAUAUGAUGUUGAUCUUUUAGGUGACCCUUCUCAAGAGUGUUGAGGAGAAUUUAAGGGUGAAGGGAUUGUAGUUUUAUCCUCUUAUUGAUUCUGUUGGUUCAGUUGGUUUUGUUGGUUGUUGUCGUUGACAGUCGACAUGAUUUUUUGACAGAAAAAUGGAUUUGGAAAGUGAAAAGAUUAUCAGAUUCCCGGUAACAAAACCAAUUUGUUUAACCAAAAAAUGUAUCUUUCGGUCAAAGCCUAUUUUUGGAAGUACUCAGGUUACUGAUAACCAAGAAAUUUCGUACUUUCUCAAUUAUAUGAAAAGAAAAGAACAAGAAUAACAAAGGAAAUAACUGAUUGCAAAGUCGAUAUAAUGUAAAGAUGAAAAGUAAAGUAAAUUUAUUCCAAUAUUGUUCCAGAUGAUCCUUACAAAUGAAGUUCUCUUCCCUUUUAUAGGGAUUUACAAAUAUAAUGUUUCUUCCCUUUUGUGGCCGAAUCAUUAUGAUCAUUAAUGACAUUAGUGGUCCGUUAGAGUUGGCUAUCAUAACUAUUUAUGGAGAUUCUGUAACGGUUUCAAUUCUUCUUCACCAUUAAUUGGAGGUUCGUAAACCUUCCCCUUCCUACUGUCUUGAUUCAUUCAGCCCAUAUUUACUGAAUGAUUUAGGCUCGAGCAACUACAUCCCUUCAUCUCGUGAGUGAUUUGCCCGUGCCUCUUGUAUCUCGUGCAUCUUCUAAUGCAUAUUCCAAGUGUCACCUUCUUAAUGAUCCACGUAUCAUGCCUUGUCAGCCACAUACAAUUCCACGUGUCAUAUUUUUUUUUACUAAUAUAGCCUUGUCCGUUACUCAUUUUUUGUCAUUUUAGGGCUAUAAGUAUAGAAUUCUACCCGAUUAUUAGAUUUUCAUGUGCUAUAGACCAUGCCUUUUGCAUAAGUCCCUGCGAUCAAACCCGAAUCGCUAGUCACUACCUCGCCCUGACCAUUACUAGUUUUUUGGCGUUUUAGGGCCAUAAAACUAGAAUUCUGCCUGAUUCCCAAAUUUUCGUGUAAUGUAGUCCACACUUUUUGCAUGGGCCGGUUGACCGGACCUGGAUUGCCUAAAAUUUUACUGGCCAAUCAAAAUUGAUAAAAGGAACAAUAGUCACCGCCUCUCCAAUACCCUUACUCGUUUAUUGGCAUUUUAAGGCUAUACAAUAAAAUUUCACUCGAUUCUCAAAUUUCGUGUGCAUGGGCCCGGGCUACCGAACCCGGAUAAUCUAAAAUUUUACCAGACCAUCAAAAUAACCUAAGGAAUAUUAGUCACCACUUCACUAUGUCCGUUACUCGUUUUUGUGUUUUAGGGAUAUAAAACUAGAAUGCCACCCGAUUCUCAGAUUUUCAUGUGCUAUAGCCCACACCUUCUACAUGGGUCCGGGCGACCAAACCAGGAUCACCUAAAAUUCUGCAAGCCCAUAAGGAACCAUAAUCAUCGCCUCACCAUGACCGUCACUCGUUUUUUGGUGUUUUAGUGCCAUAGAACUAGAAUUUCGCCUGAUUCUCAAAUUUUCAUGUGCUAUAGCACACGCCUUCUGCAUGAGCCCGGACAACUGGACCCGUCUCCCCUAAAAAAAUUUCGGACCGUAAAAAAUGACUAAGAAAUAAUAUUCAUCGACUCGCCAUAACCGUUACUCAUUUUUGGGCUUUUAAGGGCUAUAAAACUAGAAUUUCGCCCAAUUCCUAGAUUUUCGUAUGCAUGGGCCAAGGCGACCGGACACAGAUAGAUUAUGAUUUUUUCGGCCCUGAAAAAAUGACCUAAGAAAUAAUGGUCAUCGCGGCCAUGAUCAUUACACGAUUUUUUGGCAUUUCAGGGCCAUAAAACAGGAAUUUUGCCCGAAUCCCAAAUUUUCGUGUCCUGUAUAGCCCACGCCUUCAGCAUAAACCCGGACGACCGAACUCGGAUUGCCUAAAAAUUUUUUAGACCAACAAAAACAACCUUAAGAACAAAAGUCACCAUGUUGCCAUGACCGUUAUUCAUUUUUUUGGAAUUUUAGGGCUAUAAAACUGGAAUUCCGUCUGAUUCUCUGAUUUUCAUAUGCUGUAGCCCACACAUUCUGCAUGGGCCGAGGAGGCCAGACCUGGAUCGCCUAUAAUUUUUUCCGACAAAUAAAAAAUGACCAAAGUAAUAAUAGUCACCGCCUCGCCAUGACCCUUACUCAUUUUUUGUUGUUUUAGGGCCACAAAACUAGAAUUCUGCCUCAUUCCCAGAUUUUCGUGUGCGAUAGCCCACGCCUUCUGCAUGGACUGAGGCAACCGAACCCGGAUCGUCUAAAAUUUUACCGAACCAUCAAAAACGACCUAAGGAACAAUGGCCACUACCUCACCAUGAACGUUACUCGUUUUUGCUGUUUUAGGGCUAUAAAACUGGAAUUCCGCAUGAUUCCUAGAUUUUCAUGCAUAAUAGCCCACGUCUUCUGUAUGAGCCAUAAAUGCUGGGCCCGGAUCAUAAAAUUUUUUUGGACCAUAAAAAACGAUCUAAGGAACAAUAUUCACCGUGCCAUGAUUAUUACUUGUUUUUUUUGAUGUUUUAGGGUCAUAAAACUGAAACUUCACCUGAUUCUUAAAUUUACAUGUACUAUAGCCUACGCCUUAUGCAUGGGCCGGGGCGACUGGGCCUGGAUCGCCUAUAUUUUGUUGGACUAUCAAAAAUGACCUAAGAAAUAAUAAUCAUCUACCUCUCUAUGAUCGUUACUCGUUUUUUGUUAUUUUAGGGCCACAAAACGAGAAUUUUGCCUGUUUUUAAAUUUUUAUGUGCUAUAGUCCACGCCUUCUGCAUGGGCCUGGGCGACUGGACCCAUAUCCCCUAAAAUUUUGUUGGACCGUAUAAAACGACCUAAAGAGCAAUAGUCACUGCCUCACCAUGACCGUUACUCAUUUUUGAGCGUUUAAGGGCCAUAAAACAAGAAUUCUACCCGAUUCCCAGAUUUUCAUGUGUAUGGGCCAAGGCGACCAGACCCAGAUAGAUUAAAAUUUUGUCUGCCAAUAAAAUGAUCUAAGAAACAACGGUCACCAUCUCUCCAUGAUCGUUACACGUUUCUUGGCAUUUUUGGGGCCAAAAAAGUGGAAUUUCGUCUGACUCCCAAAUUUUCAUGUGAUGUAGCCAUGCCUUCAGCAUAGGCCUGGGCGAUCGAACCAGAUCUCCUAAUAUUUUGUCAGACCAACAAAAACGAUCUUAGGAACAAAAGUCAACACGUCGUUGUGACCGUUACCUCUUUUUUAGCGUUUUAGGGCCAUAAAAUUGGAUUUUCGCCAGAUUCCCAAUUUUUCAUAUGCUAUAGCCGACACCUUAUGUAUGGAUCCGGGAGACCUAACCCAGAUUGACUAAAAUUUUGUCAGUACAUCAAAAACCACCUAAGGAACAAUAGACGACACCUCCUCAUGAUCGUUACUUAUUUUUUGGCAUUUUUAGGCCAUAAAAUUGAAAUUUCUGCCUGAUACCUAGAUUUUUGUGUGCUAUAUAGUCCACGCCUUCUGCAUGUGCUCGGGCAGCCAGACCGGAUUGCCUAAAAUUUUGCUGGCCCAUCAAAAAUGACCUAAGGAACAAUAGUCAUCGCCUCUCCAUGACCGUUACUCGUGUUUUGGCAUUUUAGGGCCAUAAAACUGGAAUUCCACCACAUUCUAAAAUUUUUGGAUGCUAUAGCCCACACCUUCUGCAUGGACUCUGGUGAAAGGACUUGGAUCGCCUAAAAUUUUGCCGGACCAUCAAAAUAGACAAAUGGAACAAUAAUCACUGCUUUUCCAAGACCGUUACUCGUUUUUUGGUGAUUUAGGGCCAUAAAACUAGUAUUACACUUGAUUCCCAGAUUUUUGUGUGCUAAAGCCCACAUCUUUUGCACGGACCGGGACGACCAGACCCAGAUCGCUUAAUUUUUUUGGCCCAUAAAAAACAAUCUAAGGAAUAAUAGUCACCGCCUCACCAUGACUGUUAUUCGUAUGUUUUGGGAUUUUGGGCCAUAAAACUGGAAUUUCGCCAGAUUUUCAAUUUUUCAUAUGCACCCAUGCCUUCUACAUGGGGCCGAGCUACCGGACUUGAAUCGUCUAAAAUUUUGCCAGACCAUUUACUCAUUUUUAGUAUUUUAGGGUCAUUAAACUUAAAUGCCACGCGAUUUCCAGAUUUUCGUGUGCCCAGCAAAAAUUUUGUCGAUCCGGGAUCGGUCGCCCAGGCCCAUGCAUAAGGCGUGGGCUAUUGCACACAAAAAUUUAGGAAUCGGACGAAAUUCUAGUUUUACGGCCCUGAAAUGCCAAAAAAUGAGUAAUGGUCAUGGUGAGGAGGUGAAUAUUAUUACUUAGGUCAUUUUUUAUGGUCUGGUAUAAUUUUAGAUGAUCCUGGUCUGAUCGCCUAGGCUCAAGAACAAGGCAUGAGCUAUAGCACACGAAUAUUGUUCCUUAGAUCGUUUUUGAUGGGCCAUCAAAAUUUCAAGCGAUCGGGGACUAGUUGCCCGGGCCCAUAGAGAACAAUAGUAACCACCUUUCCCUGACCGUUCCUCGUUUUUAGCAUUAUAGGGCCAUAAAACUAAAAUUCCAUUUGGUUCCCAAUUUUCAUGUGAAAUAUCCUACGUUUUCUGCAUGGGCCCUGACGACUGGACCUGGAUCAUCUAAUAUUUUAAUAGACCAUCAAAAAUGACUUGAGGAACAAUAUUCACCCCCUCUCCAUGACCGUUACUUGUUUCUUAGUGUUUUAGGGCCAUAAAACUGGAAUUUCAUCUGAUUCCUAGAUUUUCAUGUGCUAUAACCCACGCCUUCUGUAUAGGCUCGGGCGACCGAACCUGUGUCGCCUAACAUUUUUAGGACCAUAAAAAUGACCUAAGAAUUAAUAGUCACCGCCUCGCCAUGGUUGUUACUCAUUUUUUUUAGCAUUUUAGGGCCAUAAAACUUGAAUUCCACCUGAUUCCCAUAUUUUCGUGUGCGAUAGCCCAUGCCUUCUGCAUGGAUCUAGGCGAUCGGACUCGAAUCACCUAAAAUUUGCCGGAUUUUCAAAAAUGACCUAAGAAACAAUAGUCACUACUUUUCCAUGGCCGUUACUUAUUUUUUUUGUGUUUUAGGGUCAUCAAACUGGAAUUUCACAUGAUUCCUAGAUUUUCAUGUGCUAUAGCUCAUGCCUUCUACAUGGGUGAUAACUAGGGAUUCUAGUUUAUUUUACACUCCUUUUUACUUGAGUUUUGAUUAAAAUUGUAUACAAAUAGUCCUAGAGGCUUACAUGUUGUACUUGUCUGCAAGGUUUGGUCAAAAAGGUGACAAGUAGUCAAAACCAGCUCAAAAAGGAGUGAAACAUGCACAAGUACCAAGAACAAGUCAAGGCACUGCUGCAUCAUUAAAUCAACUGCAGCCGCAAAAGACCCACCGCGGUCGUAGACCAUUUAGUGCGGUUUAUGGUGGAUGAGUUCAGAGAGGUGCAUUUUUGGAGCUUAAAGCAGUGCGGCCCACCGAGGAUUUUUGGUGGCCGCAGAAGCUUCUCUGCAGCCGCAACCCAUUUUGCGCGGUUCGCGGAGAAGGGAUUUAGAGAGUUAGGAGUUUGGAGGAUUGAAGCCAGCGCGGUCCGUGACCCAUUUUGUGCGGACCGCAAUUAAGCUACUGCGGUCGUGGAGCAUUUUAUGUGGCCCGCGGUGUCCAUAUUCAGAGAGUGAAAAGUCAAGCCAAAAAGCCUCAUCGCGGCUGCGGUGCAUUUUCGACGGUCUGCAGUACCUCCGUCAGGGGUAUUUUUGUCCAGAAAAUUCAGCCUAGUAUAAAUACUUUCUUUUCACAUUUUUAGGGUAUCUUUUGUAAUCUGUUAGAAUCCAGAGCACGUGAACGGCGGUUUUAUUCCAUUUUGAGUAAUUUGUAGCUAGUUUAACAAUCUUCAAUUUCUUAGUUUAUAAUCUUAAUAUAUGGGUUAUUCUUCAUCUAUUUCUCUGUUUUCUUCCAUUAUUAUGAGUAGAUAGACCCAUUAGCUAGGGUUGUGGCUCAACCCUAGUGUGGGUAUUUGAUGGGUCUUUUGAUUUAAGGCUUAGAUGUUUAUGGGUGUUUGAUAUUUGGACCGAUUUAUAUUUUCCAUGUUGAAUUAGUGGUUGCGAACACUAAUUUGUGCCUAUUUGACUUGGGCUCAUCUUGAGAAAGAGAGCUUGAGUCUAGGAAAAUCAGUCCAACAAGGAAUUGGGGUGUAAUCAAGAGAUUAAUAGCCCCAAUUAAAGAGUUAAACCUGGAGAUAGUAAUACCCGAUUUGAGCCUAUACUGCUUACACAAUUUUGACACCCAAUUGGUCUUGAGAAAGUCAAUUAGGGCAAAGUCACUCAAGCUACCGAGAGGUAUAGAGUGAGUAGUUCCGUGCAUUGGCUAUAUCGCAAUCCCCAACAUAAUAACUUUGCGUUAGGAUUUAGAUCCUGUCAAGUAUUCACCUAGGAGAAAGUCACUUCCCUAGUGCCUCGUUAUCCAUUUAGAAAACCUUACAAGCAUUUCACUCUUAGUUUAAUUUAGCAUCUCAUUAGUAUGAAAUUAGAAGUAACAAACAACAAUUAUGAUUGGAAGUGUAAUUAAGGGCACUACGCACUGCUAGUUUAGAUAGGAAUCCAAUUCCCAAUUCUAGCUCCCUGUGGAUUCGAUCCCGACCAUCUCGGGUAACAGUUACUUCGACCGCUCUUGCCACUUACUAGUGGUGUAGGGUUGGCACUGAUCACUUUUUGGCAUCGAUACCGGGGAGCUAACGGUUUUGGCUAUCUAUCUAAAUAGUUUUGUGUAUUGUUUUUCUUUCCUUCCGUGCUACUAAUUUAUGUGUAUCGCAAACUCAAGUACAAAAUGGUGGCAAACAAUGUACCUCUUGGAGGCCUUCCACCGGGGGAGGAGGUAGAUGACAAUAUUGAUGAUGAGGUUCCCAUAGUACCUCAAGGACAAAGGAGAGGCCGCCAGGCCAAUGAUAAUGUUCCAGACCCGAAUUGCUCAAAACAAUUUCGAACCAUAAAAAACAACUUAAGGAACAAUAGUCACCACCUCACCAUGACCGUUAUUCAUUUGUUGGCGAUUUAGAUCCAUAAAACUGCAAUUAUGCCUGACUUGAAUUUUCUUGUACUAUAACCCACGCCUUCUACAUGGGCCCGAGCAAUCGGACCCGAAUCGUCUAAUAUUUUUCCGGAUUAUCAAAAAUGACCAAAGGAACAAUAGUCACUGCCUCGCCAUAACCGUUACUUAUUUUUUGGUAUUUUAGGGCCAUAAAACUGGAAGUCCGUCAGGUUCCUAGAUUUUUAUAUGCUAUAGCCAAUGCCUUCUACAUGGGCCCAAGCGACCGGAUCCGGAUCGCCUAAAAUUUUUUUGGACCGUCAAAAAUGGCCUAAGGAACAAUAGUCUACACCUCGCCAUGACCAUUACUCAUUUUUGGCAUUUUAAGACCAUAAAAUUGGAAUUUCGCCUGAUUCUUAGAUUUUCACGUGUCAUAACCCAUGCCUUCUACAUGGGCCCGAGCGACCGAACCUGGAUCGCCUUAUUUUUUCGGAGUAUCAAAAAAGACCUAAGGAACAUUAGUACCACCUCUUCAUAACCGUUCCUCAGUUUUUGGCAUUUUAAGGCCAUAAAACUGAAAUUUCGCCCGAUUCCUAGAUUUUUAUGUGCUAGCACACGCCUUGUGCAUGGGUCGGAUGAGCGGAAUUGAAUCGCCUAAAAUUUUGUUGGACAAUCAAAAAUGACCUAAGGAAUAAUUCAUCGCAUCUCCAUGAUCUGUGUUUUGUCCUUUUAAGGCCAUAAAACUAGAAUUCUGCCUGAUUCCCAGAUUUUCGUGUGCUAUAUAGCCCACGACUUCUGCAUGGGCCCUAGCACCCGGACCUGGAUCGCCUAAAAUUUUGUAGGACCAUAAAAAAUGAUAUAAGGAACAAUAGUCACUGCCUCUCCAUGACCAUUACUUAAUUUUUGGUGUAUUAGGCCCAUAAAACUAGAAUUCCUCCCGAUUCCCAAAUUAUCAUGUGCUAUAGCCCACGCCCUCUGCAUAGGCCCGGGCGACCAGACCCGGAUCGCCAAAAAUUUUGUCAGACCAUCAAAAAGGACCUAAUGUACAAUAGUCACCACCUCGUCAUAAGCGUUACUCAUUUGUUUGGGAUUUUAGGGCCAUAAAACUAAAAUUCCGUCGGAUUCCCAAAUUUUCGUAUGCCAUAGUCCACACCUUCUGCAUGAGCGUGGACGAUCGGAUUUGGAUCGUCUAAAAUUUUGUUGGACCAUAAAAACGACCUAAGUAACAAUAGUCACCGCCUCACCAUGACCUUCACUCAUUUUUUGGAACUUUAGGGCCAUAAAAUUUGAAUUCUGCCUAAUUCCUAGUCGUGUGUUAUAGCCCCGCCUUCUACGUGGUCCUGGGCGAUCGAGCCUGGAUCACCUAAAAUUUUAAUGACCAUCAAAAAAGCCCUAAGGAUUAAUAGUCACCACCUCGCCUUGACCAUUACCCAUUUUUGGCAUUUUUGGGCUACAAAACUUGAAUCCCGCUCGAUUCCCAGAUUUUCGUGUGCGAUAGCCCACACCGUCUGCAUGGUCUAGCGACCGAACUAGAAUCACCUAAAAUAUUUUCGAACCAUAAAAAAUGACCUAAGGAAUAAUAGUCACCACCUCGCUAUGACUAUUACUCAUUUUUGAUGUAUUAGGACCAUAAAAUUUGAAUUCCGCCUGAAUCCUAAAUCUUUUUAUGCUAUAGCCCCCGUCUUCAGCAUGGGCCCGAGCGAUCGAAUAUAGAUUGCCUAAAAUUUUGCGGAACCAUAAAAAACUACCUAAGGAACAAUAGUCACUGCCUCUCCAUGAUCAUUACUCGUUUUUUUUUUGUGUUUUAGCACCAUAAAACUGGAAUUUCGCCAGAUUUUUAGAUUUUCGUGUGCGAUAGCCCACGUCUUUUGCAUGGGCCCGGGCGAUCGGACCUGGAUCACCAUAAAUCUAGAAUUUUGCCCGAUUCUCAGAUUUUUGUUUGCUACGGCCCACGCCUUCUGCAUAGGCAUGGGCGACAGGUCCCGGAUCGCCUAAAAUUUUGUUAGGCCAUCAAAAACUACCUAAGAUACAAUAGUCACUGCCUUACCAUGACCGUUACUCGUUUAUUGGCGUUUUAGUGCAAUAAAAUUGUUAUUCCGUCCGAUUCAUAGAUUUUCGUGUGUCAUAGUCCAUGCCUUCUGCAUGGGCUCGGGAGAACGAACCAGGAUCGCCUAAAAUUUAUUCGGACCAUUAAAAUCAACCUAAGGAAUAAUAUUCACUGUCUCGCCAUGAUCGUUCCUUGUUUUUUGACGUUUUAGGACCAUAAAACUUGAAUUUCGCCCGAUUCUCAAAUUUUCGUAUGCUAUAUAGCCCACGACUUCUGCAUGGGCCCAGGCGACCGAACCUGGAUCCCUUAAAGUUUUGUCGGACCAUCAAAAAUGACCUAUAGAACAAUAGUCACCGUCUCACCAUGAUCGUUACUCUUUUUUGGUGUUUUAGGGCCAUAAAACUGGAAUUCCGCAUAAUUCCCAAAAAUUUUGUGUGUUAUAGCGCAUGCCUUCUGUAUGGGCCCGGACGCCCGGAUCAAGAUCGCCUAAAAAUUUUACGGACCUUAAAAAUGACCUAAGGAAAAAUAGUCACCGCUUCACCAUGGCUGUUACUCGUUUUUUGGGAUUUAGGGCCAUAAAAUUGGAAUUUCACCCGAUUUCCAAAUUUUUGUCUACCAAGGCCCAUGACUUAUGCAUGGCCCCGAGCGACAAGACUCGGAUCGCCUAAAAUUUUGCCGGACCAUCAAAAAUGACCUAAGGAAUAAUAGUCACUACCUCGCCAUGAGCGUUACUCAUAUUUGGCAUCUUAGGGCCAUAAAACUUGAAUCCGCUCGAUUCCCAAAUUUUCAUGUGAUAUUGCCCACGCCUUCUUCAUGGGCCCGGGUGACGGAACCCGAAUCGCCUAAAAUUUUGCCGUACCUUAAAAUAUGACCUAAGGAAUAAUAGUCACUAUCUCUCCAUGACCAUUACACUUUUAUGGUAUUUAGGGCCACAAAACUAGAAUUCUAUCUGAUUCCCAGAUUAUAGUGUGUUAUAGCCAAUACCUUCUAUAUAGGCUCGGGCAACUAGACUUGGAUCCCCUAACAUUUUGUCAGACCAUCAAAACUGACCUCAGGAACAGUAGUCACUACCUCACCAUGACCGUUCCUUUUUUUUUUUGCGUUUUCGGGCCGUAAAACAAGAAUUCCACCCAAUUCCACGCCUUUUGCAUGAGCCCGAGCGACCGAACCCAGAUUGCCAAAUAUUUUUCCAGCCUAUCAAGAACAACCUUGGAACACUACAUGAGCCAGACAUAAGAUCUGGGUGGAAUUCUUGUUUUACGGCCCGAAAACGCCUAAUAUUUUGUCAUACCAUCAAAAAUGACAUAAGGAACAAUAGUCACUGACUCGCCAUGACCAUUCCUCAUUUUUUGGAGUUUUAGGGCCAUAAAAUUAGAAUUCCGCUCGAUUCCCAAACUCUCGUAUGCAAUAGCCCACGCCUUCUGCAUGGCCUCAGGCUACCGGACUAGAAUCACCUAAAAUUUUACUGACCAUCAAAUACCACAUGAGGAAUAAUGGUCACCACCUUUCCAUGAUCGUUACUAGUGUUUUGGCAUUUUAGGUCAAUAAAAACUGGAAUUCUGCCUAUUUCCGGAUUUUCAUGUGCUAGGGCCUAUGCAGAGGACCUAAUGUACAAUAGUCUUCGCCUCGCCAUGACCGUUACUCUUUUUUGGCUCUUUUAGGGCCAUAAAAUUGGAAUUCUGCUUGAUUCCCAAAUUUUUGUGUGCCAUAGCACACGCCUUCUGCAUGGGUCGGGCGACCGGACUCGGAUCGCCUAAAAUUUUGCUUGACCAUAAAAAACAACCUAAGGAAUAAUAGUCACAACCUCACCAUGACCGUUACUCAUUUUUUGGCAUUUCAGGACCAUAAAAUUUGAAUUCCGUCUAAUUCCCAAAUUUCCGUAUGUAGCCCACGCCUUCUGUGUGGGCCUGGGCGAUUGAACCCGGAUUGCCUAAAGAUUUGCCUGACCAUAAAAAAUGACCUAAGGAUUAAUAAUCACCAUAUUUUAGGGUUAUAAAACUUGAAUGCCACCAGAUUUCUAAAUUAUCGUGUGCUAUAGCCUGCGUCUUCUGUAUGGGACCGGGCGACCAGACCCGGAUCGCCUAAAAUUUUGUUGGCCCAUAGAAAAUGGCCUAAGAAACAAUAGCCACCUUCUCGCCAUUGUCGUUACUCAUUUUUUGAUGUUUUAGAGCCGUAAAACUGGAAUUCUGCCCGAUCCCCAGAUUUUCGUAUGCUAUAGCUCACGCCUUCUGCAUGGGCCUGGGCGAUCGGACCCGGAUCUCCUAAAAAUUUUCUGGACCAUCAAAAUGACCUAAGGAACAAUAAUCACUGUCUCGCCGUGACCAUUACUUAUUUUUUGGCAUUUUAGGGCCAUAAAACUAUAGUUCUACCCGAUUCCCAAAUUUUUGUGUGCUAUAGCCGAUGCUUUAUGUAUGGGCCUGGGCGGUAGGACUCGCAUCACCUAAAAAAAUUUCCGACCAUCAAAAAUGACCUCAGGAACAUUAUUCACCACCUUUCCAUUGCCGUUACUCAUAUUUUGGUGUUUUAGGACCAUAAAACUUGAAUUCCGCCCAAUCUUAGAUUUACAUGUGCUAUUACCCAUGCCUUCUGCAUGGACCCGAGCGACCGUACCUGGGAUGCCAAAAAUUUUGCUGGACCAUCAAAAAUGAUCUAAGGAAUAGUCACUGCCUCGCCAUGAGUGUUCCUCAUUUUUUGGUAUUUUAGGGCCAUAAAAUUAGAAUUUCGCUCCCAAAUUCUCGUGUGCUAUCUGCAUGAACUUGGGCUAUCGGCUCCAAAUUGCCUAAAACUUUGCGGGACCAUUAGAAAUAACGUAAUGAACAAUAGUCAUCACUUUGCAAUGAUCAUUCCACGUAUUUUGGCAUCUUAGGACCAAAAAAUAGAAAUUCAGCAUGAUUUCUAUUUUUUGUGUGCUAUAGUCCACGUCAUUUGCAUGAACUUAGCCGACCAGUUCUGAAUCACCUAAACUUUUGCGGGCCCAUCAGAAAUGACUGAAUGAUCAAUAGUCAUCACUUCACCAAGUCCGUUCUCAAUUUUUGGCAUUUUAGGGCCAUAAAACAGGAAUUUAGGAUGAUUUCCAAUUUUACAUAUGAUAUAGUCCACACCAUCUGCAUGAACUCUGGUGACCGGCUCAUAAUCGCCUAAAAAUUUGAGGGCACAUCAGAAAUGGCCCGAUGAAUAAUUGUCUUCUUUUUGUCAUAAACAUUCCUCAUUUUUUGGUGUUUUAGGGUGAUAAAACAAGAAUUCAGCAAGAUUUUCGAAUUUGUUUCGUGUGAUAUAGUCUACACCAUCUGCAUGAAUUUAGGCAACCAGCUUCGAAUCACCUUAAAUUUUGCGGGCCCAUAAGAAAUAGCCUAAUGAAUAAUAGUCAUUGCUUCUCCAUGACUGUUCCUCAUUUUUGGGAUUUAGGGCCAUAAAAUAGGAGUUUAGGAUGAUUUUCAAUUUUUUGUGUGCUAUAUUCCAGGCCAUCUACAUGAACUCAGGCAUCUAGCUCUAAAUCGCCUAAAAUUUUGUGGGCCCAUCAAAAAUCACCUAAUGAAAAUUACUCAUCGCUUUGCCAUGACCGUUUCUAAAUUAUUUUACGUUUUAGGGCCAUAAAACAAAAAUUCAACAUGAUUUUCAAAGUUUCGUGUGCUAUAGUCCACGCCAUUUGCAUGAAUUCGGGCAACCAGCUCUGAAUCGCCUAAAGUUUUGCGGGCCAAUAAAAAAUGACCUAAUGAACAAUAGUCAUUACUUCGCCAUGACCGUUCCUCAUUUUAUGACUUUUGAGAACCAAAAAAUAGGAAAUUAGGAUGAUUUUCGAAUUUUCAUGUGCUAGUCCACGCUAUCUGCAUGAACAGGGGCUACCGACUCCAAAUCGCCUAAAAUUUUGCGAGUCUAUCAAAAGUGGUGUAAUGAACAAUAGUCAUCACUUCGACAUGACCGUUCCUCGUAUUUUGGUAUUUUAGGGCCAUAAAAUAGAAAUUCAGCAUGAUUUAUGAUUUUUUAUGUGUUACAGCUCAUGCCAUCUGCAUGAGCUCGGGCGAUUAGCUCUGAAUCACCUAAAAAUUUUAUGGGCCCAUCAAAUAUGACCUAAUGAAUAAUAGUCAUUUCUCCUAGACCAUUCCUCGUCUGUUGGAAUUUUAGGGCUAUAAAAUAGGAAUUCAGGCGAUUUCUAAUUUUCCGCGUGCUAUAGUCCACGCCAUUUUCAUGAACUCGGGCGACCAGCUCUGUAUCACUUAAAAUUUUGUGGUCACAUCAGAAAUCACCUAAUGAAAAUUAUUCAUCGCUUAGCCAUGACAAUUCCUCAAAUUUUUGAUGUUUUAGGGCCAUAAAACAUGAAUUUAACACGAUUUCCGAAUUUCGUGCGCUAUAGUCCACGACAUUUGCAUGAAUUCGGGAAACCGACUCUGAAUUACCUAAUAUUUUGCGGGACCAUCAGAAAUGAUCUAAUGAACAAUACUUAUGAUUUUGCCAUGAAUGUUCCUCGUUUUUUUGGUGUUUCAGGGCCAUAAAAUAGAAAUUCAACUAGAUUUUCGAAUUUUCUUGCACUAUAUAGUUCACGCCAUCUGCAUGAAUUGGGCGAUCAGCUCUUAAUCAUUUAAAAUUUUACUGGCCCAUAAGAAUUGGUCUAAUGAACAAUAAUCAUCACUUCGCUAUGACCGAUACUCGUUUCUUGGUAUUUUAGGGCUAUAAAAUAGGAAUUUAGAAUGAUUUCUAAAUUUUCGAAUGCAAUUGUCCACACCAUCUAUAUGAACUCGGCAACUGGCUACGAAUCACCUAAAAUUUUGCAGACUCAUCAGAAAUCACCUAAAGAAUAAUACUUAUCGCUAUGCUAUGACCGUUCCUUAUUUUUUUUGACGUUUAGGGCCAUAAAAUGGGAGUUCAGCAUGAUUUUCAAAUUUUCAUGCGCUAUAAUCCAUACCAUCUGCAUGAAUUCGGGCAAACGACACCGAAUUGCCUAAAAUUUUGUGGGCCCAUCAGAAACGACCUAACGAACAAUAUUCAUUACUUUGUUGUGAUUGUUCCUCAUUUUCUGAUAUUUUAGGAUUAUAAAACAGAAAUUCACUGUGAUUUCUAAUUUUUUGUGUGCUUUAGUCCACGCCAUCUUCAUGAAUUCGAGAGACGGGUUCCGAAUUGCCUUAAAUUGUGGGCCCAUCAAAAAUGAACCAAUAAACAGUAGUAAUUGCUUCUCCAUCAAUGUUCCUCAUUUUGUUGGUGCUUUAGGGCCAUAAAACAAGAAUUCUGUUAUAAAAUAAUAAAAGAAGAAGAACAAUAUUGCAGAGAAAGAGAGAGUAAUUCUUAUUGAAUUUUGGGAUGAUUUACAAUGGGAUAAGACCCCUCUAUUUAUAGAGGAAAAAUGACUUAGCCACAAAGUAAAACUCUCUAAAAGAUAGACAUUUACUCUAAAUAGAAUUCUAUUCAUAACACUCCCCCUUGAAUGUCUACUCGAUAAGUAAUGUGCCUCAUUAAAACCUUAACUAAAAUAAAACCCAAUGGGAAAAAAUUCUAGAAAAGGAAAAAGAGUACACAUGUUUAAUAAUACGCCUUUUAGUUGCCUCGUUAAAAACCUUGCAAGAAAAACUCAGUGGGACAAAACCUUGUAAGAAAACAAGAGUGCAACGCGCAUUAACUCCCCCUGAUGAGAGCAUCAUUUCACAUCCUUGAGCCUUCGCAUCCCAAUCUUGUGUAUUAGCUUCUUGAAGAUUGACGUCGGUAGAGAUUUUGUGAACAAAUCAGCCAUAUUAUCACUUGAACGAAUCUAUUGCACAUUUAUAUCACCAUUCUUUUGAAGAUCAUGUGUGAAAAAUAACUUUGGUGAAAUGUGUUUUAUUCUAUCUCCUUUUAUGAAUCCUCCCUUCAAUUGAGCUAUGCAUGCUGCAUUAUCUUCAUACAAAAUUGUGGGUAACUUGUCACAUUUCAAACCACAUUUNNNNNNNNNNNNNNNNNNNNNNNNNNNNNNNNNNNNNNNNNNNNNNNNNNNNNNNNNNNNNNNNNNNNNNNNNNNNNNNNNNNNNNNNNNNNNNNNNNNNNNNNNNNNNNNNNNNNNNNNNNNNNNNNNNNNNNNNNNNNNNNNNNNNNNNNNNNNNNNNNNNNNNNNNNNNNNNNNNNNNNNNNNNNNNNNNNNNNNNNNNNNNNNNNNNNNNNNNNNNNNNNNNNNNNNNNNNNNNNNNNNNNNNNNNNNNNNNNNNNNNNNNNNNNNNNNNNNNNNNNNNNNNNNNNNNNNNNNNNNNNNNNNNNNNNNNNNNNNNNNNNNNNNNNNNNNNNNNNNNNNNNNNNNNNNNNNNNNNNNNNNNNNNNNNNNNNNNNNNNNNNNNNNNNNNNNNNNNNNNNNNNNNNNNNNNNNNNNNNNNNNNNNNNNNNNNNNNNNNNNNNNNNNNNNNNNNNNNNNNNNNNNNNNNNNNNNNNNNNNNNNNNNNNNNNNNNNNNNNNNNNNNNNNNNNNNNNNNNNNNNNNNNNNNNNNNNNNNNNNNNNNNNNNNNNNNNNNNNNNNNNNNNNNNNNNNNNNNNNNNNNNNNNNNNNNNNNNNNNNNNNNNNNNNNNNNNNNNNNNNNNNNNNNNNNNNNNNNNNNNNNNNNNNNNNNNNNNNNNNNNNNNNNNNNNNNNNNNNNNNNNNNNNNNNNNNNNNNNNNNNNNNNNNNNNNNNNNNNNNNNNNNNNNNNNNNNNNNNNNNNNNNNNNNNNNNNNNNNNNNNNNNNNNNNNNNNNNNNNNNNNNNNNNNNNNNNNNNNNNNNNNNNNNNNNNNNNNNNNNNNNNNNNNNNNNNNNNNNNNNNNNNNNNNNNNNNNNNNNNNNNNNNNNNNNNNNNNNNNNNNNNNNNNNNNNNNNNNNNNNNNNNNNNNNNNNNNNNNNNNNNNNNNNNNNNNNNNNNNNNNNNNNNNNNNNNNNNNNNNNNNNNNNNNNNNNNNNNNNNNNNNNNNNNNNNNNNNNNNNNNNNNNNNNNNNNNNNNNNNNNNNNNNNNNNNNNNNNNNNNNNNNNNNNNNNNNNNNNNNNNNNNNNNNNNNNNNNNNNNNNNNNNNNNNNNNNNNNNNNNNNNNNNNNNNNNNNNNNNNNNNNNNNNNNNNNNNNNNNNNNNNNNNNNNNNNNNNNNNNNNNNNNNNNNNNNNNNNNNNNNNNNNNNNNNNNNNNNNNNNNNNNNNNNNNNNNNNNNNNNNNNNNNNNNNNNNNNNNNNNNNNNNNNNNNNNNNNNNNNNNNNNNNNNNNNNNNNNNNNNNNNNNNNNNNNNNNNNNNNNNNNNNNNNNNNNNNNNNNNNNNNNNNNNNNNNNNNNNNNNNNNNNNNNNNNNNNNNNNNNNNNNNNNNNNNNNNNNNNNNNNNNNNNNNNNNNNNNNNNNNNNNNNNNNNNNNNNNNNNNNNNNNNNNNNNNNNNNNNNNNNNNNNNNNNNNNNNNNNNNNNNNNNNNNNNNNNNNNNNNNNNNNNNNNNNNNNNNNNNNNNNNNNGCCUACAAUUAAUUUACUACUACCAGAAAUUGUAGUAACAUCUGCCUUACACAUAUUUUUGAGUGAGAGAAAUAUUUUUUCUCUUUGAAUAUUGUAUGUGUCGUACAUGAAUCAACUAAACAAAUAUUUUUACAAUUGAAUUUGAUUCAAGUUUGUUUUGAGAGAUAUCUAUAUUUGCUUCACAUGGUUUCACAUACAAAAGAAAUAUACGAAUAAACAUUAGUAUUUUCAAAGAAAAGGAAAAGAAAACAAAGUUAAGUCAAUGAUUCAAUAAUGACUUUUAAAGUAAUUUCAAGCAAAUUUUGAUUUUGAUACAAACAAUUACGUAGAAAAAUAAUGCAGUCAUAUACUACUAAAAUCUUGUUAAGUAAAGCUUCAUUCGAUCUAGAUGGCUCGUAAACAGUAAUACAUUUUAAAAAGGUCUAAUUACUGAAUGUGUUUUUGUAUUAUCCACAGUUUAAUUUUCAAAGAUCAUGUUAAUAGAUAGUAACUAAAAAUUACAAAUUUAAUGAUUGUAAAAAAGAAAUAAAAACGGGUACUUCCCUGGGAUAUGUCACACUUCACUGCCACUCUUUCAAAAAAAAUUCAUUCAAUUCCUUUCUAGUUACAAUUCUCCCUCUAUUCCAAAAUUAGUAAAAGACAGUAAAUGCUCGCCCUCUCAGAAACGGAAUUUUAUCGGAAGCAAUUAUUUAUAAAAUCACAUGAAAUGUAUGUGUAUUUUUGCGGCGAGAUUUAUAAAAUAAAUAAUAUUGUUUUAUACUAAUGACUACUACUCAUGUAAAGAAUUGUAAUUACAUGAUGUUUAUUCACUAACUAUUAAAAAUAGGCAAACAUAAAAGUUGAACUACUCAAUCAUCUUUAACCACGGAUCCAUCACCGAUCAAGUGGUCUAUUUUUCCAUCAGGGUGCUCAAAGAAGUCUGCCAUAUCUAAGUGGGUGAUGUCAAAUUCAUUGUCAUAGACAAAGUUAGCUUUAGGGCCUUUGUUCUUUAGAGAUGCUUGAUAAAGCUCACCAAAUGUCUUGGUACACAAUAAAUAUUUAUCCAAUGGCAUUUUCCACCGCAACGAUAACAUUCGGUUUCUGAACCAUCUGCCUUUGGUUUCUCAUCUUUCCCUUUCCACUUUUGGUGGUUAUUUUUCUUUGGGAGGUGAUUAACACCAAGAAAAUUUCUUCCUUGUCCAUGGCCACGGCCACGACCAUGACCACGACCACGAAUAGGCCACGGCCUUGUCCACGCUUAGCAUAAUGGGAAUACACCUCAUCCACUUCAGGCAAUGGUGUAGACCCAGUGGGUCGAUUUUCGUGAUUUCUCAUGAGCAAAUCAUUGUUUCGCUCAGCCACAAGGAGAAGAGAAAUCAACUCAGAGUACUUUUUGAAACCUUUCUCUCUAUAUUGCUGUUGCAAGACCAUAUUGGAGUCAUGAAACAUUGUGAACGUUUUUUCAAGCAUAUCAUAAUCAGUGAUAAUAUCUCCACAGAGUUUCAAUUUAGAAGUAAUUCUGAACAUUGCAGAAUUAUAUUCAGAAACAGACUUAAAGUCUUGGAGCCUCAUAUGAGCCCAAUCAUAUCGUGCUUGUGGAAGAGUGACCAACUUUAAGUUGUCAUUUCUUUCCUUUAAGCCAUUCCACAAAACAAGUGGAUCUUUGACGGUAAGAUAUUCUAUUUUCAACCCUUCAUCAAGGUGAUGGCGCAAGAAAAUCAAGGCCUUAGCACAGUUUUGGGUGGAUGCUUUAGUUUUGUCUUUAAUAGCGUCUCCAAGACCCAUUGUAUCUAAAUGGAUUUUAGCAUCCAACACCCAUGUCAUAUAGUUCUUACCCGAAAUUUCAUGGGCAACGAACUUUCUUUUCAUAAUAUCAGUCAUAAUUAAAAGAGGAGAAUAGUUGUACCUUAACCUUCUUGAGACGGUAGAGUCUCAUGCUGAUAACGUAUUAUAAAACAAUAAAAGAAGAAGAACAAUAUUGCAGAGAAAGAGAGUAAUUCUUAUUGAAUUUUGGGAUGAUUUACAAUGGGGUAAGACCCCUCUAUUUAUAGAGAAAAAAUGACUUAGACACAAAGUAAAACUCUCUACAAGAUAGACAUUCACUCUAAAUAGAAUUCUAUUCAUAACAAAUUCAAGAUUAUUUUUAAUUUUUGGUGUGCUAUUGUCCACGCCUUCUUGAAUUCGGGUGACAGGUUCCGAAUCACCUAAAAUUUUGUGGGCCAGUCAAAAAUGACCUAAUGAACAAUAGUCACUACUUCACCAUGACCAUUACUCAUUUUUUAGCAUUUAGGUCCAUAAAAUAGGAACUCAUAAUGAUUUUUAUUUUUUCGUAUGCUAAUGUCCACGCCAUCAAUACGAAUUUGGGCGACGGGCUCCGAAUUGUCUAAAAUUUUCUAGGCCCAUAAAAAUAACCUAAUGAAUAAUUGUCAUCACUUAGCCAUGAGAGUUUCUUAUUUUUUGGCAUUUAAUUCCAUAAAGCAGGAAUUCAGGACGAUUUUUAAUUUUUCGUGUGCUAAUGUCCAUGCCAUCUGCAUGAAUUCUGUCAAGGGCUCCAAAUCGCCUAAACUUUAUGGGUCCAUCAUAAACGAGCCAUUGAAUAAUAUUUAUUCAUGUUCCUAGUUUUUUGGUAUUUUACGGCCAUAAAGCAGAAUUCAGAAUGAUUUCUAAUUUUGUAUGUGCUAGUGUUCACGCCAUCUUCAUGAAUUCGAGCGACGGGCUCCGAAUCACCUAAAAUUUUGUGGUCCCAUCAGAAAUGACCUAAUGAACUAUAGUCAUUUCUUAUCCAUGACUGUUCCUUGUUUUCGGUAUUUUAGGACCAUAAAAUAGGAAUUAAGGACGAUUUCCAAUUUUCGUAUGAUAAUGUCCACCCCAUCUUCAUGAACUACGAAGACGGGCUCCGAAUCACCUAAACUUUUAUAGACCGAUCAGAAAUGACAUAAUAAAUAAUAGUUAUUGCUUUUCUAUGAUUGUUUCUCAUUUUUUGGCGUUUUAGGGACAUAAAAGAGGAAUUUAGGAUGAUUUUUAAUUUUUUGUAUGCUCAUGUCCAUGCCAUCUUCGUGAAUUCAGGGGACAAUCUCUAAAUCGCCUAAUGUUUUCUGGAUCCAUCAGAAACUACAUAAUGAAAAAUAGUCAUUGCUUCUCAUGAAUGUUCCUCAUUUUUUAUGGGCAUAAAAUAAGAAUUCAUGACGAUUUCUAAUUUUUUGUGCUAAUGUCCACAACUUCUUCAUGAAUGUGGGCGACGAGCUCAAAAUCAUCUCAAAUUUUAUGGGCCCAUCAUAAACGACCUAACGAACAGUAUUAAUUUCUUUGCUAUGAGUCUACCUUAUUUUUGGCAUUUUAUGGCUAUAAAACAAGAAUUCAGGACUAUUUUCAAUUUUUCGUAUGCUAGUAGAUGCCAUCUUCAUAAAUUUGGGCAACGAGCUCCGAAUCGCCUAAAUUCUUUUGGGCCCAUAAAAAAUGAAUGAAUGAACAAUAGUCGUCACUUCUCCAUGAUCGUUCCUCAUUUUUGGCGUUUUAGGGCCAUAAAACAAGAAUUCACGAUGAUUUUCGAUUAUUCAUGUGCUAAUAUCCACACCAUCUUCAUGAAUUUAGGUGACGGGCUCUGAAUCACCUAAAAUUUUCUAGGCUCAUCAGACACGACCUAAUGAACAAUAGUCAUAACUUCGCAAUGACCAUUAUGUAUUAUUUGUCACUUUAGGGUCAUAAAACAAGAAUUCAAAAUGAUUUCCGAUUUUUUGUGUGCUAAUGUCCACGCCAUCUUCAUAAAUUCGGUUGACGGGCUCCGAAUCACCUAAAAUUUCUAGGCUCAUAAAAAAUUGCCUAAUGAACAAUAGUCAUAUCUUCGCAAUGACCCUUCCUCGUUAUGUAUCGUUUUGAGGCUAUAAAACAGGACUUCAGAAGGAUUUCCUAUUUUUUGUGUGCUAGUGUCCACGCCAUCUUCAUAAAUUCGGGCGACGGUCUUCAAAUCACCUAAAAUUUGGUGGACCCAUCAGAAACGGCCUAGUGAACAGCAGUCAUAACUUAUCCAUGGGUCUUCCUAAUUUUUUGGUGUGGCAGGGCUCUCAAACAGGAAUACAAGAUGAUUUCUAAUUUUUUUAUGUGCUAAUGUCUACGCCAUUUUUAUGAAUUUAGGCAAUGGACUCUAGAUCGGCAAAGAUUUUGUGAGACAUCAGAAACUACCAAAUGAACAAUAUUAAUUGCUUCUUCAUGAAUGUUUCUCAUUUUUGAUAUUUUAGGGCCAUAAAACAGGAAUUCGGGAUGAUUUUUUAUUUUUCAUUUUUCAUCUAAUAAUUUUUCAGGAAUUUAGGAUGCUCGUUCCUCAUUUUUUAGCGUUUUAGGGCAUUAAAACAAGAAUUCAGAAUGAUUCUUAAUUUUUUGUGUGCUAAUGUCCAUGCAAUCUUUAUGAAUUUCGGCGACGGGCUUCGGAUCUCCUAAAUUUUAUUGGCCCAUUUGAAAAGACAUAAUGAAUAAUGGUCAUUGCUUCACCAUAACCGUUCCUCAUUUUUGGCAUUUUAGGGCAUUAAAAUAGGAAUGCAGGAUGAUUUCCAAUUUUCGUCUGCUAAUGUCCAUGCCAUCUUCAUGAAUUCGGGCGAUGGUCUUCGAAUUGCCUAUAAUUUUGCGGGCCCAUUGAAAAAAGCCUAGUGAAUAAUAGUCAUUGCUUCGGCAUGACAGCUCCUCAUUUUUUGGUAUUUUACGGCCAUUAAAUGGGAAUUUAGCACAUUUUUAAAUUUUUCGUAUGCUAAUAUCCACGCCAUUUUUAUGAAUUCGGGUGACGGGCUCUGAAGAGCAAAAUUUUUGUCAUCCCAUCAGAAAUAACCUAAUAAACAAUAGUCAUUGAUUUACCAUGGUCGUUCCUCAUUUUUCGGCAUUUUAGGUAUAAAAUAAGAAUUUAGGAUGAUUUUCGUGUUUUGGUAUGAUAAUAUCCACGCCAUCUUAAUGAAUACGGGAGAUGGGCUUUGAAUCGCCUAAAGUUUUUAGGCCCAUAAGAAACAACCUAAUUAACAAUAGUCAUCGCUUCGCCAUGAUCGUUCCUCAAUUUUUGGUAAUUUAGGGCCAUAAAAUAGGAAAUCAGAACGAUUUUAAAUUUUCCAUGUGCUAAUAUCCACACUAUCUUCAUGAAUUCUGGCGUUGGUCUCCGAUUUGCCAAAUUUUUGUUCAUCGAUCAGAAACGAUCUAAUAAAAUAUAGUCAUCACUUUUCCAUGAUUGUUCCUCGUUUGUUGGCAUUUUAGGACCAUAAAACAUGAAUUUAGGAGGAUUUCUUAUUUUUCGUGUGCUAAUGUCCAUGUCAUCUUAUGAAUUCGGGCAACGAGCUCCAAAUCACAUAAAAAAAAUCGGACCCACUAGAAACGGCCUAAUGAAUAAUGGUCAUCACUUCACCAUGCGUGUUUCUCAUUUCUUGGCAUUUUAUGGCCAAAAACUAGGAAUUCAAGAUGAUUUCUAAUUUUUCAUGUGCAUCCUCAUGAAUUCGAAAAACGGAUUGUGAAUCGCCUAAAAUUUUGUGGGCCCAUCAUAAAUGACCUAAUGAACAAUUUUCAUUGCUUUGCCAUGACUGUUCCUCGUUUGUUGGAAUUUUAGGGAUAUAAAAUUAGAAUUCAGGAUUAUUUUCAACUUUUCGUGUGCUAAUGUCCACGUCAUCUUCAACUAGGCGAUGGGAUCCGAAAUACCUAAAAGAUUAUGGGUCCAUCAGAAAUGACCCGAUGAACAAUAGUCAUUGUUUCUACAUGAAUGUUUCUUAUUUUUUGUCGUUUUAGGGCCAUAAAAUAAGAAUUCUUGAUGAUUUCUAAUUUUCGUAUGCUAAUGUCCACACCAUCUUCAUGAAUUAGGGCAGCAGACUGUGAAUCGUCUAAAAUUUUAUGAGCCCAUAAGAAACAACCUAAUGAAUAAUAGCCACUGUUCGUCAUGACCAUUCCUUGUUUAUUUGCAUUUUAGAGCCAUAAAAUUGGAAUUCAUGAUGAUUUCCAACUUUUCAUGUGCUUAUGUUUAAUUCAUCUUUAUGAAUUCGGGUGAGGGGCUCAGAAUUGCCUAAACUUUUGUGGGCCAAUCAAAAACGAUCUAAUAAAUAAUAGUCAUCGCUUGGCCAUGUACUAAUACACACGAAAAACGUAAAUAUAAUCAUAAAUUUGUUUUGCAUGACCCUAAAAUACUAAAAAAUGAACCCGAAAGUCGUGGAGAAAUAUUGGUCACUAGUUCUUUUCCUAUUGACCUACGAAAUUUCAGGCCAAUUGGAGUUCGUUAAAAAAUAAUUACAGAAUCAUGCACUAAUACACAUGAAAAAAUAGUUAUAGUUUGUGUUGCACGACCCUAAAAUGCCAUAAAAUGAACCCGAAAGUCAUGGUAAAGCAAUCACUAUUGCUCACUAGGUCAUUUAUUAUGGACUUACAAAGUUCCAAGCUAACCGGAUUCCAUCAAAAAUAAUUUUACUAAAUUAUUACGUAAUAAUAUACACGAAAAAGUGAUUAUAAUCACAUAUUUGUGUUGCAUGACCUUAAAACACCAAUAAAAUGAACCCAAAAGUCAUGGAUAAGCGAUAAGUAUUGGUCACUAGGCCGUUUUUUAUGGACCUACGGAAUUUCAGGCUAAUUAGAGUUUGUCAAAAAAAUUCUACAGAAUCAACAUGUAUUAAAAUACAUACAAAAAAGUUGAUAUAAUCAUAAAUUUGUGUUGUAAGACCCUGAAACGCCAUAAAAUGAACCUGAAAGUCAUUGUAUAGCAAUUAAUAUUGGUCACUAGGACGUUUCUUAUAGACUUACGAAAUAUCAGGACAAUCGGAGUCCGUCAAAAAAAUUCUGCAGAAUUAACAUCUAUUGAUAAACAUGAAAAAAAUCGAUAUAAUAAAUUUGUAUUGCAUGAUCCUAAAACAUCAUAAAAUAAACCUGAAAGUCAUGGGAAGCAAUUAGUAUCGGUCAUGAAACCAUUUCCUAUGGACCUACAAAAUUUCAAACCAAUCGGAAUCCGUUAAAUAUUUUAUAUAGAAUCAUUAUGUAUUAAUAUACAUGAAAAAGUAGAUAUAAUCAUAAAUAUGUAUUACAUGACCCCAAAAUACCAAAAACUAAACCGGAAAGUCAUGGCGAAGUGAUAGGUAUUAGUCACUAGGACUUUUCAUAUGGACCUAUGAAAUUUUAGGCUAGUCGGAUUGCGUCAAUUUUUUUUUUACAAAAUUAGCAUUUACUAAUACACACGAAAUAGUGGUUUUAGUCACAAAUUUGUGUUGCAUGACCCUGAAACGCCAUAAAAUAAACCCGAAAGUCAUGGUGAGGCGAUAAUUAUUGUUCACUAGGGUGUUUCCUAUGGACCUAUAAAAUUUAAGGCCAAUCAGAGUUCGCCAAAAAAAAUCUACAGAAUCAGCAUGUAUUAAUACAUAAAAAAAAGUGGUUAUAAUCACAAACUUAUGUUGCAUGACCCUAAAACGCCAAAAAAUAAACCCGAAAGUUAUGGCGAAGCAAUUGCUAUUAGUCACUAGCUCAUUUUCUAUGAACAUACAAAAUUCAGGCCAAUCAGAUUUCGUCAAUUUUUUUUACAAAAUCAGCAUGUCCUAUUAUACAUGAAAAAGUGAUUAUAAUCACAAAUUUGUGUGCAUGACCUUGAAACACCACAAAGUAAACCCGAAAAUUAUGGGGAAGCAAUUAGUAUUGGUCACUAGGCCAUUUUUUAUGGACCUACAAAAUUUUAGGCUAAUUGGAGUCUGUUAAUAAAUUUUACAGAAUCGGCAUGUACUAAUACACAAGAAAAAAUGAAUUAAUCACAAAUUUAUGUUACAAGACCUUGAAACGCCAUAAAAUGAAUCCAAAAGUCAAGGUGUAGCAAUUAAUAUUGAUCACUAGGUCAUUUUCUAUGGACAUACGAAAUUUCAGGUCAAUCGGAGUCCGUCAAAAAAAAAUUCGUAAUGUACUAAUAUACACGAAAAUAAAUAGUCACAAAUUUGUAUUGUAUGACCCUGAAAUACCAUAAAAUGAACCCGAAAGUCAUGAAGAAGCGAUAAGUAUUGGUCACUAUGCCGUUUCUUAUGGACCUACGAAAUUUCAGGCUAAUCGGAGCCCGUCAAAAAAAUUCUACAGAAUCAGCAUAUACUAAUACACACCAAAAGGUGAAUAUAAUCACAAAUUUGUGUUGCAUGAUCCUGAAACACCAUAAAAUGAACCUUAAAGUCAUGAAGAAUCAAUUUGUAUUGGUCACUAGGUCGUUUCCUUUGGACCUACAAAAUUUUAGACUAAUCGGAGUCCAUCAAAUUUUUUUUACAGAAUCAACACAUACUAAUAUAUAGAAAAAAGUGGAUAUAGUCAUAGAUUUGUGUUUCAUGACCCUGAAACAUCAUAAAAUGAACCCAAAAUUCAUGGCGAAACAAUUAUUGUUAUUCACUAGGCCUUUUCCUAUGAUCCUAUAAAAUUUCAGGCUAAUUCAGAAUCCGUUAAAAUAAUCUACAGAAUCAGAAUAUACUAAUACACAUGAAAAAUGGAUAUCACAAAUUUAUAUUGCAUAAUCCCGAGGCAACAUAAAAUGAAUCUGGAAGUCAUGGAAAAGCAAUUAGUAUUGGACAUUAUGUCGUUUCCUAUGGACCUAUAGAAUUUCAAGCCAAUCGAAGUUCAUUAAAUUUUUUUAGAAAGUGAGCAUGUGCUAAUAUACACGUAAAAGUAAAUAUAAUAAAAAAUAUGUGUUGUAUGACCUUGAAACACCAUAAAAUGAAACCGAAAGUCAUGGCGAAGCAAUUAGUACUGAUCAUUAGGUCGUUUGCUAUGGACCUACGAAUUUCAGGUAAAUCAGAGUCUGUCAAAAAAUAUUCUACAAAAUCAAUAUGUAGUAUACAUAUACAAAAAUUUGGAUAUAAUCAUAAAUUUGUAUUUCUUGAUCGUGAAACACCAUAAAAUGAACCCGAAAUUCAUGGAGAAUUAAUUCGUAUUGGUCAUUACGCCAUUUCCUAUGGACCUAUGAAAUUUCAAGACAAUCGGAAUGCGUCAAUUUUUUUUUUUACAAAAUCUGCAUGUACUGUGACAAACAAAAAAAUGGACAUAAUCACAAAUUUGUGUUGCAUGACGCUGUAAUAUCAUAAAAUGAACCUGAAAGUCAUGGCUUAGAAAUUAGUAUUGGUCUAGGCCAUUUCCUAUGAACGUACAAAAUUUCAGGCCAAUUGGAAUCCGUCAAAAAAUUCUAUAGAAUCAACAUAUAUUAAUACACAUUAAAAAUAGAUAUAAUCAUAAAUUUGUGUUGUAUGACCUUAAAACACAAAAAAAUAAAUUUAAAAGUCAUUGUGAAGCAAUAAAUAUCGGUCACUAGCCUAUUUUCUAUGUACCUACGAAAUUUCAGGCCAAUCAGAAUCCGUGAAAAAUUUCUAAAAUCAGCAUGUACUAAUAUAUACGAAAAAAGCGAAUAUAACCAUAAAUUCGUAUUGCAUGACUCCAAAACACCAUAAAAUGAACCCGAAAGUCAUGGUGAAGUAUUGAGUAUUGGUCACUAAGUUGUUUUCUAUGGACCUACUAAAGUUCAGGCCAAUUCGUCAAAAAACUUCUACUAAAUUAGCAUGUACUAAUACACACUAAAAAUUGGAUAUAAUCAUAAAUUCGUAUUGCACGAUCCCAAAUUAUCAUUAAAUGAACCCAAAACGCCAAAAAUCGAUAUUAGUUAUGGCGAAGCGAUAAGUAUUUGUCACUAGGCCGAUUUCUAUUAACCUACAAAAUUUCAGGCUAAUCGAAGUCCGUCAAAAAGAAUUCUACAAAAUCAGCAUAUACUAAUAUACAUAAAAAAGUGAAUAAUUAUAAAUUUGUAUUGCAUGACCCCAAAAAUCUUGGGAAAGCAAGGAGUAUUGCUCACUAGGUCAUUUCCUAUGGAUGUACAAAAGCCAAUCGCAGUCCAACAAAAAGUUUCUACAAAAUCAACAUGUUACUCAUACAUAUAAAAAAGUGGAUAUAAUUAAAAAUUCAUGUUUCAUGACCCCAAAGCGUCAUUAAAUGAACCCGAAGCGCUAAAGAAAUGAUGUUAGUCGUGGUGAAGCGAUGAUUAUUAUUGUUCAUUAGGCCGUUUUCUAUGGACCUACAAAAUUUCAGGCCAAUCGAAGUCCGUCAAAAAUUCUACAGAAUCAGCAUCUACUAAUACACACAAAAAAGUGGGUAUAAUAAUCAAUUUCUUUUGCUAGAAUCCAAAAUACCAAAAAAAAAAAAAAUCCGAAUGUUUUGGCGAACCGAUAAGUAUUAGUCACUAGGCCAUUUCCUAUGGACCUACGAAGUUUCAGGCCAAUCGUCCAUGAAAACAAUCAUACAGAAUUAGUAUGUACUAAUACACACGAAAAGUGGAUAUACUUAUAAUUUUUUACAGCAACUAAGAAGAAAAAGAAGAAAAAGCCUGAAAUUGUCUGUACUAAUUAAACAUUUUUUAAAAAGUGGAUACAAGUUAUAGGUCCUAGAAACAUCCUCUUUACCUUCUUUAAGUAGGGUUAAGGUUUCCAUAUAUUUUACCUUCCCAAGACCUUAUUACUGAUAUUGCACUUUAUUGUUAGGUACAAAUUAAAUAGAGCGACCAAAUAAGAUAUCCCGUCAAUUUUUUACGGUACUUUUUAUGACUAGUAACUCCGUCCUCGAUGAGAUUUGUGAAUAUUGUAUGGACUAGAUUGUUCGGUUCAAUCAACAAUGUGUCCAAAAUUCCAUGGUCCUACUUAUCUCAUUUUGACGAUUUUUCUCUUGUUUGAUAUCUACAUCUAAAGUUACAAUCUUCAAAUUUUACUGUCUACCUCCUAAAUAUCUUACUUGGGUUAAUAUACGAUAGCAUCUUUCGAGGCGGAACUAGACGAUUACCUAUGUGUUCGGUAAAAUUUAAUAACUUUAGUUUAAAUUUAAUAUUUGUAUUAAAAAGUUCUUUAAAUAUGUACAAAAAUAUUUCCAUAAAGUUUCUCUUAUAACACACACAAACAAACGAUUUCAAUAAAGUAAAUUAGACAAGAUUAAUAAAGAUUGAAAAAUAAGUCCACUUAAAGAUAAAAAUUUACUUGGUUCUUCACUUCUUUGCAACAAAUGACAUUGAUACAAUAAUACACUGAAAUAAUUUCAUAAAUAAAUCGCUAUUCAAAAAUAGCACAAUCCACAAAGAUACAAUUUUGAGGGAAGGGGAAGAGAAAAUAAAUCAAGAAGCUCGACAUCCUCUCAUGUCGAUCCAUGCAAUUACUCCUUCAAAUCUUAGCUUGAAACCUGUAAUUUAGACAUAAUUUAUGAUUAAUGAGUUUAAGUUCCUUAUCUAAAAAUUUUAUUUAAAAAAAAACAACAAAAAAAGAAUAUUGCCGACAAUUACUUCACAAAAAAUCUUAAAAUUAUAAGGUUACUACUACUCAGACCUCUACAUUAUUAAUGGGAAAAUGAUACUGUAUAGCCACUCUCAAAAUAAUAGCCAAACAAAUGUAUAGUUUUUGUAUAUAUAUAUAUAUACAUUCUAUAUGUUAUAUACAAAAAUUAUACAAAUUUUAUACACUUUAUCAGCUACUGAAUAUAAAUAAUUUUUGGCACGGAUUAAAGUGAUAAUACCCCUACGUUAAUUCACCCUAAUAUUAAGAUCCACUUGACCGAAAAAUCUAGCUUCUAAUCUAGUUAUAAAUGAAGAAAAUAAUAACUAUCCUAGUCCCAAUGGUCUUGGUUUUGUAAAUUGACCUACAAUACAAUAAUAGGUAAUAACUAUUAUAUAAACUAUAAUGUCAGAGUAAAAAUCUACUACCCCUCCGUUCACUUUUAUUUGGCAUGUAUACUAAAAAUAAAUUUUCAUUUUUACUUGUCACCUUUACGCAUAUCAAGAGAAGACAAAUUUUUUUCCUGUUAUACCCACAGUAUUUAUUACUCAUUUCAAAUCAUUUUCUCAAAUCCAAUAAAAUAUGCAUCAAUUAAUAUGGGUAUCAUAGUAAAUUAUGCAUUUCAUUUAUUAUUUCUUAAGGGGCGUGAAAAAUCAAAAUAUGCCAAGUAAAAGUGAACGGAAGAAGUACUAAUCAAUCAAUAUGCAUUAAUAGUGUAAUUCUUUUACACUGUCAAGGCAUAAAUAAGUUAAAACCUUGUACUAUAUCGAAUAGUACUAACGUACAACAAUCAUUCUACAUGAUUUUCUUUUUUCUUUUUUUUUUGGCCAAAAUGUUUUUCCACUGGCAUUACCAAUUUUUUAUUAAAAAGUCGAGUUAUGCAAUCAACUUUUUCCUCAAAAUAGGAACAAAAGCAAACUAGCAUACAAUGCAGCCAGAAGUUUUUAAGGUGAGGUUAUGGGAAAAUUAAAGGAUUUCACUUACGAGUUUAACUUAUAUACUAAUAAUGUAAUCAUGAUUUUCUAUACUAUUAAUGUAUUUUAACUUGUCAUAAUAGGUCAUUACUUUGUUAUAUAGAUAAUUUUAACCCGAUAAUGUUAAAACGUUAUAUACUGUCAACGUAGAUAAGUUAAGCUUUAUGAAAAAAAGGUAUAUAUACUUAACUUAAAUCUAGAGAGAGCAAGUGUAGCCAGGUGGUGGAGUCUUUCCACAGGUAACAAGGAGCUGAAGAGCAAGAGGGACAAAGAUUUUUAGGUUAAGAAGCUUGACUUUAAGUGUUGUACAAAGGCAAGCAGCAGCUUCAAGUUCAACAAGUCCAUGUAAAAUUGGACAACAUUCAUUGACAGCAGGGUCACCAAUUCCAAUAUGAACUAGACCACCAAGAAGAUCUACACAAGCUCCAAGUUUUAGUGUGUCAAUUGGGCAUGUUGCCUUUGUUGUUGGUGGUGGAGGGCAUGGUUUUCCUUUAGGGGAUGGUGUAAUAACUGGUGGAACUGUCACGGGUGGAAUUCCGAUAGGUGGCAAGUUAAUAGGAGGUUUUACAAUAGGUGGUAAACCAAUUGGUGGCUUCAGAACUGGUGGAACUGUCACUGGUGGAAUUCCGAUAGGUGGCUUAAUAACGGGUGGAACGACGGGCGGCAAGUUGAUGGGAGGUUUUACAACUGGUGGAACUGUAACUGGUGGAAUUCCGAUAGGUGGCUUAAUAACUGGUGGAACAACUGGUGGCAAGUUGAUGGGAGGUUUUACAACUGGUGGAACUGUCACUGGUGGAAUUCCGAUGGGCGGCUUAAUAACUGGUGGAACAACAGGUGGCAAGUUGAUAGGUGGUUUUACAAUCGGUGGAAUUCCAAUGGGUGGCAAGUUGAUAGGGGGUUUAAUACUUGGAGAGGGAGUUUUGGGUUUUUUGGGUUUGUGAGAGGGUUUUCCACAAUAUCCACAACCAAGAAUGGGAGUGAAUGAAGAAAGGAAAAGCAUGGAAAUGAAAAGAAGACAUGUUAUUUUAGAUGACUCCAUUUUCCUAUGAGGAAAGAGGGAAUAGGUUGAGAUUUUGGUACAAAGAGUAUGGUGUUAUAUAGAUAUGAAAGUGAAUUGAU